UCAGCAAGAUGAGUGAUUGCUCUCUGUAUUUGCAGGGAGAGGAAAGUCCGAACGCCAUCCCGCUAAGCGGGAUAAAAUAAUAGCGGCUAACAGCCGUCCAUCGUAAGAUGCGAGGUGCGAACAGAAACGGCUUGGACCGAAAGGUUCAGCAUCCCUUCAUGGGAUAAUUUUACAGCAAUGUAAAAAUGAAACGGCUAAAUCCUUAUUGGGCGCAAGAACAAAGCCCUGCUCAUUGUUUCAUCAUUGAAAAGGGUUAAAAGUAGUUCGCCACUGGUCGCGAGAAUUAUACGCAAAGCGGAAAUUCCCGACCUAGAGCCAAAGAGUAAUUUUUGGCCAAGACAGAUAAUCACUUAAAACAGAAUUCGGCUUACGGUCUUGCUGAGACA
This 386-nucleotide RNase P RNA is filed under the name Candidatus Staskawiczbacteria bacterium RIFCSPHIGHO2_01_FULL_36_16. RNAcentral's name for it is "RNase P RNA component class A". It matches the Rfam family "Bacterial RNase P class A". From Rfam's summary of the family: Ribonuclease P (RNase P) is a ubiquitous endoribonuclease, found in archaea, bacteria and eukarya as well as chloroplasts and mitochondria. Its best characterised activity is the generation of mature 5'-ends of tRNAs by cleaving the 5'-leader elements of precursor-tRNAs. Lineage: Bacteria; Candidatus Staskawicziibacteriota. The record is from RNAcentral.